AGAACGAACGCUGGCGGCAGGCCUCAAACAUGCAAGUCUAGGGGAUGUAGCAAUACAUCACCGGCGGACGGGUGCGUAACACGUGGGAAUAUACCUUUCGGUACGGAACAACUGCGGGAAACUGCAGCUAAUACCGUAUACGUCCUUACGGAGAAAGAUUUAUCGCCGAAGGAUUAGCCCGCGUUCGAUUAGCUAGUUGGUGAGGUAAUGGCUCACCAAGGCGACGAUCGAUAGCUGUUCUGAGAGGAAGAUCAGCCACACUGGGACUGAGACACGGCCCAGACUCCUACGGGAGGCAGCAGUUGGGAAUCUUGGACAAUGGGGGAAACCCUGAUCCAGCCAUGCCGCGUGAGUGAUGAAGGCCUUCGGGUUGUAAAGCUCUUUUACCCGGGAAGAUAAUGACUGGUACCGGGAGAAUAAGCUCCGGCUAACUUCGUGCCAGCAGCCGC
This 449-nucleotide ribosomal RNA is filed under the name uncultured bacterium. RNAcentral's name for it is "SSU rRNA". It matches the Rfam family "Bacterial small subunit ribosomal RNA", at positions 26 to 518 of the family's 1533-position model. The record is from RNAcentral.